This 29-nucleotide non-coding RNA is filed under the name Rattus norvegicus (Norway rat). The record is from RNAcentral. Lineage: Eukaryota; Metazoa; Chordata; Mammalia; Rodentia; Muridae.
UGAAUUCCUCUGAAAGUUGGAACAUGUUC